UUUUUUUUUUUGGACUUAGGUUUUUUAAUUUGAGCUUGGGCUUGGGCUAUAACAUUCAGACUACAUCAGAACUAAUGAUUGGUUGGCCAAGUCCAAAUUCAUUCGCUAUAUGUCAUGCUGAGUCAAGCAGUCUAAAACUGGGCUCUUCUCUAUUCUUUUGAUUCCUAGAAAUGAAUUAUAUUUUGCAAUCGGAGCUUAUUCAGUAAAUCUAACUUUGUAGGAAUCAACUUAUCUGCAAGACUUUUUUUUUUAAAAAAUAAAAGAAAAGAAUAGCCAAUUCUAGUUAGGGAUGGUUAUUCGCACGCCGGGAAGAAAAGAUCAAGAAUAAAUGAAUACUUGGGAUGAUAACAGGGAUGUCCUAUGAGUUCUUCACAAGUUAGCACUGCACACCACUGAAUUCAAGAGGAAAAC
RNAcentral lists this long non-coding RNA (411 nucleotides) under Elaeis guineensis (African oil palm). RNAcentral describes it as "long non-coding RNA (EGUI_LNC033590)". Lineage: Eukaryota; Viridiplantae; Streptophyta; Magnoliopsida; Arecales; Arecaceae. The record is from RNAcentral.